GUCAGUGAUAAGUAAAAGGAACCAUAGUAGAAAAAUGUUUGGUUUUUUUCUUUCCAACAGAAUUUUUAAGAGCGUUUUCAUAUUAUAUCAAUACAUUAUAUGCUCACGUUCAAGUGGCAAAGCUCCACACAAAGAGAAUCAAGUGAAAGGGUUUGCAGAAACGUAGCUGGAACAAACAGCGCGGUCCAUAAACUGCGCAGCGUCGUGCGGCUCUGUCGCCUGAAGAGGGGGCGUACGUGAGGAAGCGGACCGUUCGGCUGCGGCUUGAAGAGGAGGAGGAGCGCGCAGUCGCAGACGCGCAGAACCUUCCAGAGAAGAGCAGCCGCGAGGAUCGGAGAAUAAGCGAACUGCCUGGUCGUGGAAGGAGAAACGUGUCCCGUCACAGCUGAGGUCAUCGACCCAAUACAAAAAGGAUUCACAUUGCAGUUCGGGGAGCCACUUUGUCUCGCCACUGUCUUGCUUCCUUUCACUGACAUAUUUUUUACACAUGGGAUGCAGUGGGGGAAUUUAAGAGAUUAUUUUUGUUUGGGGACUGAUUCUGGAUCCGUUUAGGGUUUUAUUUAAUAUUAAAUGUAACUCACGCACUCAGAGGAUUUUAUUUUCUCUUGGAUCCUACUGAAUUAACACCUGUCCUUCACCUUUGCUUUUGGAAUUAUCCCUGGAGGAACCAUUUUACCAGGAAAUUGCGUGGAUUAACAAAAAAUAAACAUACCAGAAAUCUUCACAGCCAGAUCCCAAAUAAGAUCUCCGGCCUUGCUUUCUUCACGGCAACGUACAGUGUUGGCUGUAGCACAGAGUAAAUGCUCAUGAUGUCAAAAGACAACAAUGACAUGAGUACAAUAAAAGGCCACACAAAGACAAGAACAACAGCAAAGUCAAGAUAUCAUAAAGAAACAAUGCUUUUUGCCAUCCAGAACAGCUGUUGGCUACCAGAAUACCGGAUCUCUCUCUACCAUCCGCUGUUUGACCUUCAUUCUGACCAUGGUAUCGACACUGUGCCUCCUCUUGGCAAGGAUCACUCAUUCUCUUUCCUAACUCCCAAGCUGUUGACUGGGGUUCUGCUGAACAUCAGAUAUGGUCACAGUCUCAUGACUUUUUGCUGCUUUUUGAAGACCCAUCUCUUCUCACAUCUCCUUGGGAAUAUUUAGCCUCUGCUCUCUUGUGUUGGCUCAUUGGGUUUUGCAGAACUUUUCCAGGCUUUUCCAGUGUGCCUAUGGUUAGAGCAGGUCGAUUUCUUUGUUCAUCGGUGUGAAGAGACUGGUCCCUGGAGACCAAAUUGUGUGUCCUGGUCGUAGUAAUAAAUAUCUCACCAUCUAUCUGGUUUUUGGUCUU
Molecule: long non-coding RNA, 1332 nt
Filed under: Scleropages formosus (Asian bonytongue)
Lineage: Eukaryota; Metazoa; Chordata; Actinopteri; Osteoglossiformes; Osteoglossidae
Description: lncRNA (ENSSFOG00015028241.1)
Source: RNAcentral